GAUGAACGCUGGCGGCGUGCCUAAUACAUGCAAGUCGAGCGAACAGACGAGGAACUUGCUCCUCUGACGUUAGCGGCGGACGGGUGAGUCACACGUGGAUAACCUACCUCUAAGACUGGGAUAACUUCGGGAAACCGGAGCUAAUACCGGAUAAUAUAUUGAACCGCAUGGUUCAAUAGUGAAAGACGGUUUUGCUGUCACUUAUAGAUGGAUCCGAGCCGCAUUAGCUAGUUGGUAAGGUAACGGCUUACCAAGGCAACGAUGCGUAGCCGACCUGAGAGGGUGGUCGGCCACACUGGAACUGAGACACGGCCCAGACACCUACGGGAGGCAGCAGUAGGGAAUCUUACGCAAUGGGCGAAAGCCUGACGGAGCAACGCCGCGUGAGUGAUGAAGGUCUUCGGAUCGUAAAACGCUGUUAUUAGGGAAGAAUAAAUGUGUAAGUAACUAUGCACGUCUUGACGGUACCUAAUCAGAAAGCCACGGCUAACUACGUG
RNAcentral lists this ribosomal RNA (497 nucleotides) under uncultured bacterium. RNAcentral describes it as "partial 16S ribosomal RNA". It matches the Rfam family "Bacterial small subunit ribosomal RNA", at positions 28 to 507 of the family's 1533-position model. The record is from RNAcentral.